GCGUUCGUAGGUGAACCUGCGGAAGGAUCAUUGAAUCUAUCAAUACCAACACCUGUGAACCUUCAUUGUCCGGUCUGUUGGCUGCGCCUUCACUGGCCAGCCGAUGCGGGCUCAGGCACUUGAGCAAGUAUCGAGUGCCUGGCUCGGACCAUCAUAUAGUGCCUUAGUGCUUAUGUGAUGGUUGGCCUUUUACUAACCAUCAACACCAAACCUAAACCUUUAUCUAAUCUCAAUAUGAUGAACUGGCCUGGCCAAUUCAUUCUAACUGAGACAACUCUCAACAACGGAUAUCUUGGCUCUCGCAACGAUGAAGAACGCAGCGAAAUGCGAUACGUAGUGUGAAUUGCAGAAUUCCGUGAAUCAUCGAAUCUUUGAACGCAUAUUGCGCUCGAGGCUUCGGCCAAGAGCAUGUCUGCCUCAGCGUCGGGUUAAUAUCACAUACCCAAACACCUUGAUUGUGUGAUUGGGCUAUCAAUGUGGACUUGGCUGUUCCAGUUCAGUGCGAGUUGACUAUUGACUUAUAAUCAAUAAGACGCUCAUCAUGCACCCUGGAUCGGCUGAAGAACAGAGGCUAACAAGGACUCUUCAAGGGUCGCAACUGAGUAGGCACUUGUGCU
Molecule: ribosomal RNA, 617 nt
Filed under: uncultured organism
Description: eukaryotic LSU rRNA
Rfam family: 5.8S ribosomal RNA (bases 273-426)
Source: RNAcentral